GAUUGUCCAUAUCUGCAUGGGGAAAAACGGUCAGGGUUUUGACUGGGAAUGGUCAAGAGGGGGAAGGGAACCAAAUCUUUUCACAACUUUGCCCACCCAGGAACAAGGUCCUACCUGACCUACAUUUAUAUAACUGAAAGAGACUGAGUGAUUUGUCACUGAACAAGGAAUUUGUGCUUAAGGGUGCUGUGACAGUGGAGUCAACAAUACCACAUUCAUAAAAGACUAUUCUUGUCCACGCUCUGCCAACAAGAACAUGGAAGUCCAAAGACUUUAAGUAGUAACUUCACAAGAAGAAGGAUCUGCUUUAUAAAUACUGGCAGUGACUCAAGGACAUCAACUUGUGCUCAACUCCCCCCCACCCCACUGGCCGCUCAGCUCAACACACCUCUCACCUGGGACUGCUGUGAAAGUGUGCCACUGACUAUAUCACGUCUGAGUUCUACACACUGACCUGCACGUGAAGGGCAGUUUUGAAAAUUGUCAAUGGCAGGGAAAGAGGCCACAUCCUUGAAACCGCUCAGGCCACAGCCAGCCACCCAUACAGGAGUCCCACGUUGAACAGUAAAGAAGUAAGAAAUAAGCUUGCAUGGUGUGAAAUCACUGAGCCUUCCGAAUUUAUCUGUUAUGAACACAAU
This is a long non-coding RNA of Fukomys damarensis (Damara mole-rat), 638 nucleotides long. RefSeq lists it as uncharacterized. The transcript is spliced from 4 exons. Lineage: Eukaryota; Metazoa; Chordata; Mammalia; Rodentia; Bathyergidae. The record is from RefSeq and is a predicted model, not a curated record.